UACGUAGGGUGCGAGCGUUGUCCGGAAUUAUUGGGCGUAAAGAGCUCGUAGGCGGUUUGUCGCGUCGACUGUGAAAACCCGCGGCUCAACUGUGGGCUUGCAGUCGAUACGGGCAGGCUGGAGUUCGGUAGGGGAGACUGGAAUUCCUGGUGUAGCGGUGAAAUGCGCAGAUAUCAGGAGGAACACCGGUGGCGAAGGCGGGUCUCUGGGCCGAUACUGACGCUGAGGAGCGAAAGCGUGGGGAGCGAACAGG
RNAcentral lists this ribosomal RNA (253 nucleotides) under uncultured bacterium. RNAcentral's name for it is "partial 16S ribosomal RNA". It matches the Rfam family "Bacterial small subunit ribosomal RNA", at positions 524 to 776 of the family's 1533-position model. The record is from RNAcentral.